AUAAAUUUAAAUUAAGUUUAUAAAUUAAUUACUUUAUUUAUAUAUAUAUUAAGUUAAGAAAUUAAAUAUAAAUUUAAAUAAUUUAUAUUAUAAAAAAUUAAUAUAUAAAUUUAAAAAAAUUAAGAAAUUAAUAUUUAGAAAUUUAAGUAAAUAUAAGUUAAUUUUGUGCCAGCAACUGCGGUUAUACAAAAUAUAUAAAUUAAUUAUUUUAUUUAUUAAAUAAAUCAAAUUAAUUAUAUUAUAUAUAAUUAAAUUUUAAGAUAAAAUAAAAUUUUAAUUAAUUAUAAUAUUUAAUAAUUUAUUGAAUUAAAUAGUUAUUAAUAUAAACUAGGAUUAGAUACCCUAUUAUUAAUAAUAAAAUACAAUAUUUAAAUAUUAGAAUUUAUAAUUUGAAAAUUAAUAAUUAUGGCGGUAUUUUAAUCUAUUUAGAGGAACUUGUAAUUUAAUUGAUAAUCCACGAAAGGAUAAAUAUAUAUUUAAUAUAUUUUUGUAUGUUCGUUAUAAAAAAAUUUAUAAAUAAUUUAAAAUUUUUGAAUAUUAUUAAUAUAAUAUAUUUCAGAUCAAUAUAAAAUUAUAAUAUAUAAAAUAUAUGAGUUACAAUAUAAAUUAAUAUAAUAUAAAUAUUAAAUUAUUUAUAUAAAUUAGGAUUUAAUAGUAAAAUAAUUUAAUUAAUUUAUUUGAAUUUAGUUUUAAAAUAUGUACAUAUUGCCCGUCACUUUUAUAUUUAAUAAAAUAAGUCGUAACAAAGUAAAUAUACUGGAAAGUGUAUUUAGAUA
This 776-nucleotide non-coding RNA is filed under the name Muscidifurax similadanacus. Lineage: Eukaryota; Metazoa; Arthropoda; Insecta; Hymenoptera; Pteromalidae. The record is from RNAcentral.